UAGGGAAUCUUUGGCAAUGGACGAAAGUCUGACCGAGCAACGCCGCGGGAGUGAAGAAGGUUUUCGGAUCGUAAAACUCUGUUGUUAGAGAAGAACAAGGACGGUAGUAACUGAACGUCCCCUGACGGUAUCUAACCAGAAAGCCACGGCUAACUACGUGCCAGCAGCGGCGGUAAUACGUAGGUGGCAAGCGUUGUCCGGAUUUAGUGGGCGUAAAGCGAGCGCAGGCGGUUUCUUAAGUCUGAUGUGAAAGCCCCCGGCUCAACCGGGGAGGGUCAUUGAAAGCUGGGAGACUUGAGUGCAGAAGGGGAGAGUGAAUUUCCAUGUGUAGCGGUAAAAUGCGUAGAUAUAUGGAGGAACCCCAGUGGCGAGGGCGGCUCUCUGGUCUGUAUCUGCCGCUGAGGCUCGAAAGCGUGGGGAGCAAACAGG
This 429-nucleotide ribosomal RNA is filed under the name Gemmatimonadota bacterium. Its description in RNAcentral is "Gemmatimonadetes bacterium partial 16S ribosomal RNA". It matches the Rfam family "Bacterial small subunit ribosomal RNA", at positions 355 to 776 of the family's 1533-position model. The record is from RNAcentral. Lineage: Bacteria; Pseudomonadati; Gemmatimonadota.